GCGAGCACACUCUUCCUCGCGGCUCAUGAAGCCGGCUGUGUGCACUUGCGAGGCCAAGGUAAGGAGGUAGGCGGAGUGACUCAGCGAGCACGCCGCAUACCGAGGAGCGAGGGCGACACGUGAAGCCAGGCAUCCUAUGCUGCAGGAGAAAACAGCACCGGCGUGAUCGAACCUCAUGCUCAUGCUCCUUGCUGGUGAGUACAGAACACACGGAAUAGAAACGAAUCUUUUUUUGUUCAAGUGGCGGAGAAGCAGACGGCAUUGCGCAUGGCUGCCUACCAUGCCUUCCUGCGCCCACCAGCUCUCCCUCCCCACAUUCUAAAAGGUAGGGAAGCAGAGCAUCAACGAGUAAUCGCUCAGUGAGGCGAUAGACAUCACCGAACGGCAUCCAACAGCCCAUCUGUGAGAAUCAGGUGCCGCGAUACACUCGCUCGUACGAACAGGCAUUUCGUGGGCUCAUCCUUUUUCGGAAAAGAGGGUGUGCGCGUGGGUGCCUUAAUCCUGCUCAUGACGCUUCUGGGCCGCAAUGCCACCCAAGGUCUAGCAGAUCAUAACUGGGAUAUGCGCUCGAGGGCAUAUCCUGCGGGUCAGCGCACCUUCCACCCCUUCACGGACACCCCCUGCCGUAGCCACCUACCCGCCAGAUGAUCAUAGCGUCUAUUUUCUGCUACUCAUAAAAUAAGAAAGACAGCCUUGUACACUCCAGGUGCAGGCUGAGAUUCAUGUGUAGCUGCCUUCUUGGAGGCAGGCUUUCAUGGCGGCCGUCUAGAUGGCUCUACAGAGAUUUUGCGUUCAAUAUCCUGCGCACUUUGACUGGCAGCAGUGCGUCGCAUCUGCUGAUUGCCGCCCACCCACCCACCCACCUCACAAAAAAUUUUGUAGUCGAAUACCUGAUCUCAUCAAGCGGUGAGCAGGGUUGAAACCCUUUUUUUUGCCGGCCCUCACAAUGUGGCGGCUCCAUCGGCGAGGAAGAUACCAAAUCGUCGUUUAGUUUUGUUGCCAGGUGUAGUGAGGCGUUCCUCUACGGGUGACACUACCAUCGGUGAUUUUUUACGUUUACUUGACGAAGAUGUUGCGGCGACUUUGCUUCGCGACGUGCGCCGUGUGGUCUUGCAUCGAGAGUUGGUGGCCAAUGAUGCACUCUACUGCUGCAACGUCAUGUAGGAGGUGUGACCCGUUUAUUCGCAGCAGUUGGCUCACUGACGUUCCGUUGCCUGCUCUGCACUUAUUGCUGCGCCCCUUUCUCGCCGGCGGCCAACACGCACAGCCGGCUUGGCUCUUUCAGUGGCUCGCGUGCUGAUGGUCCGUCUACCAGGUACGCGAGUACGCUUUUCGCCGCUUUGCAGACUCGCCACCAUGCUCCAACGAGUGCUCGCCAUUUAGAUCCAUCACCGGCGCUGUGGUGGAUUAGUGCGAGUCCCUGAAGCGCCUCGCCUUUUUCGCGGCGCGUGUAGGGUGUGCAUCGGGAGUGUGACGAUGCGCCGUCCCUUUCGAUGUCUUGCCCGUGACCUUUACCUUGUCGAGCUCUUUCAGUUGUGCUGCACACUGCGGCAGGAUGCGCAGAAAAAUAGAGAGUUGCCGGUUCCAAAUUCAACGGGUAUCACUUGCCUUUCCGCAGGUCAGCUUCGUCGAGGGGCGGCGGGGGGGGGGAUAGGGCCUCCCUCUCCCUCCGCAAUCAGGCCGCUGUCUUUGCCGUGUGCAUCCACACUGGCACCGGUUGUAGGCGUGUAUCUUUCUUCUUGUUUCGUUAAGAUAUAGGCGGAACAGCUGCGCCGUGUGGAUCGGGUUCAGCUCGGCCGAAAAAGCCGUCACGUUUCAAUGAUGUGCUCAUGCCAGUUUUGUCGAGCGUGAGACGUACCUUCGCCAGCGGUCGCUGCUGGAGUGGUUGUGGGCAUCGGCCGCAUGUCCAAGGUCCAUCAGCAUUCUUCGCUUGGUAUCUGUUUUUCUUGUGGUCUCCUGUCGCAAGGUAGACGACCUCGAUGGCGACCUCUUCCCUGCCUUUCUUUUUUUUUAUUCCGCAGUAGCACCUUGGGAACCCGCCAGUGCGCAAGUUCUAGGAGGUGCCAGAGCGCC
This 2073-nucleotide unclassified non-coding RNA is filed under the name Leishmania donovani. RNAcentral describes it as "gene:unknown". Lineage: Eukaryota; Euglenozoa; Kinetoplastea; Trypanosomatida; Trypanosomatidae. The record is from RNAcentral.